This 499-nucleotide ribosomal RNA is filed under the name uncultured bacterium. RNAcentral's name for it is "bacterial SSU rRNA". It matches the Rfam family "Bacterial small subunit ribosomal RNA", at positions 29 to 507 of the family's 1533-position model. The record is from RNAcentral.
ACGAACGCUGGCGGCGUGCCUAAUACAUGCAAGUCGAGCGGAAUGAUGAGGAAGCUUGCUUCUUCUGAUUUUAGCGGCGGACGGGUGAGUAACACGUGGGCAACCUACCUUGUAGAUUGGGAUAACUCCGGGAAACCGGGGCUAAUACCGAAUAAUCCAUUUUGCUUCAUGGCGAGAUGUUGAAAGACGGUUUCGGCUGUCACUACAAGAUGGGCCCGCGGCGCAUUAGCUAGUUGGUAGGGUAAUGGCCUACCAAGGCGACGAUGCGUAGCCGACCUGAGAGGGUGAUCGGCCACACUGGGACUGAGACACGGCCCAGACUCCUACGGGAGGCAGCAGUAGGGAAUCUUCCACAAUGGACGAAAGUCUGAUGGAGCAACGCCGCGUGAGUGAAGAAGGUUUUCGGAUCGUAAAACUCUGUUGUAAGGGAAGAACACGUACGAGAGUAACUGCUCGUACCUUGACGGUACCUUAUUAGAAAGCCACGGCUAACUACGUG